GGCGGCGUGCUUAACACAUGCAAGUCGAGCGGAAAGGCCCUUCGGGGUACUCGAGCGGCGAACGGGUGAGUAACACGUGAGUAACCUGCCCUAGGCUUUGGGAUAACCCUCGGAAACGGGGGCUAAUACCGGAUAUUCAUGCUGGACGGCAUCGUCUGGUGUGGAAAGUUUUUCGGCCUGGGAUGGGCUCGCGGCCUAUCAGCUUGUUGGUGGGGUGAUGGCCUACCAAGGCGACGACGGGUAGCCGGCCUGAGAGGGCGACCGGCCACACUGGGACUGAGACACGGCCCAGACUCCUACGGGAGGCAGCAGUGGGGAAUAUUGCACAAUGGGCGGAAGCCUGAUGCAGCGACGCCGCGUGAGGGAUGAAGGCCUUCGGGUUGUAAACCUCUUUCGACAGGGACGAAGCGUGAGUGACGGUACCUGGAGAAGAAGCGCCGGCCAACUACGUGCCAGCAGCCGCGGUAAGACGUAGGGCGCGAGCGUUGUCCGGAUUUAUUGGGCGUAAAGAGCUCGUAGGCGGCUUGUUGCGUCAGCUGUGAAAACCCGCAGCUCAACUGUGGGCUUGCAGCUGAUACGGGCAGGCUUGAGUUCGGUAGGGGAGACUGGAAUUCCUGGUGUAGCGGUGAAAUGCGCAGAUAUCAGGAGGAACACCGGUGGCGAAGGCGGGUCUCUGGGCCGAUACUGACGCUGAGGAGCGAAAGCGUGGGGAGCGAACAGGAUUAGAUACCCUGGUAGUCCACGCUGUAAACGUUGGGCGCUAGGUGUGGGGGGCCUCUCCGGUUCUCUGUGCCGCAGCUAACGCAUUAAGCGCCCCGCCUGGGGAGUACGGCCGC
RNAcentral lists this ribosomal RNA (836 nucleotides) under Dactylosporangium sp. IM-7152. RNAcentral's name for it is "bacterial SSU rRNA". It matches the Rfam family "Bacterial small subunit ribosomal RNA", at positions 38 to 889 of the family's 1533-position model. The record is from RNAcentral. Lineage: Bacteria; Bacillati; Actinomycetota; Actinomycetes; Micromonosporales; Micromonosporaceae.